This 449-nucleotide ribosomal RNA is filed under the name uncultured microorganism. RNAcentral describes it as "bacterial SSU rRNA". It matches the Rfam family "Bacterial small subunit ribosomal RNA", at positions 346 to 807 of the family's 1533-position model. The record is from RNAcentral.
GUGCAGCAGGCGCGAAUCCUUCGCAAUGUGCGAAAGCAUGACGAGGCGACGCCGCGUGGAAGAUGAAGCCCUGCGGGGUGUAAAUCCCUUUUAUAGGGGGAGAACUUUUGUGACUGUACCCUAUGAAUAAGGAGCUACUAAUCACGUGCCAGCAGUAGCGGUAAUACGUGAGCUCCGAGCGUUAUCCGGAUUUACUGGGCGUAAAGCGUUCGUGGGCGCUCUGUUAAGCUUUCUGUUAAAUCUCUAAGGCCCAACCUUAGAGCUGCAGAAAAAACUGGCAGGGUAGAGGAUGUCAGGGGCUGAUGGAACUCUCGGUGUAGAGGUGGAAUUCGUUGAUAUCGAGGGGAACACCAAAAGCGAAGGCAUUCAGCUGGGGCAGUCCUGACGCUGAGGAACGAAAGCGUGGGUAUCGAACGGGAUUAGAUACCCGCGUAGUCCCUGGGACUGCC